GACGAACGCUGGCGGCGUGCUUAACACAUGCAAGUCGAACGGAAAGGCCCUGCUUUUGUGGGGUGCUCGAGUGGCGAACGGGUGUGUAACACGUGAGUAACCUGCCCUUGACUUUGGGAUAACUUCAGGAAACUGGGGCUAAUACCGGAUAGGAUCUCCUGCUGCAUGGUGGGGGUUGGAAAGUUUCGGCGGUUGGGGAUGGACUCGCGGCUUAUCAGCUUGUUGGUGGGGUAGGGGCUUACCAAGGCUUUGACGGGUAGCCGGCCUGAGAGGGUGACCGGCCACAUUGGGACUGAGAUACGGCCCAGACUCCUACGGGAGGCAGCAGUGGGGAAUAUUGCACAAUGGGCGGAAGCCUGAUGCAGCAACGCCGCGUGCGGGAUGACGGCCUUCGGGUUGUAAACCGCUUUCGCCUGUGACGAAGCGUGAGUGACGGUAAUGGGUAAAGAAGCACCGGCUAACUACGUG
RNAcentral lists this ribosomal RNA (468 nucleotides) under uncultured bacterium. Its description in RNAcentral is "partial 16S ribosomal RNA". It matches the Rfam family "Bacterial small subunit ribosomal RNA", at positions 28 to 507 of the family's 1533-position model. The record is from RNAcentral.